AGAACUUCCACCUCUAUAUUUUUAUAACAUAUAUUAUGGAUCAGAACUCUAGACAAAAAUUGAAAUCAUUCUGGUGAGUAUCUUGGGUAGUACUUUGAGGAAGCUACAAGGAGGAAUUGUGGCAUUUAAUUUAUAAUAUGUAAGUGAGCUCCUUGUAUAUUGAAAUCUGCACUUUAAUUCCCUAAGGGAAACAGAGCCGAGGAGUCUCUAUAUUGAACUGCCACCACCAAAAUCAUUAAGAGUUAGUUCCCUCAGAGCAUUUGGUCUAAAGCUAAUGUAUAACCUGGAUUCCUGUUUCCAAAUAGAGAAAGACUGAGUAUCUGAAUUCCAAUUAUUCUAUAUCCUUUUACUCUCAGAAGAGGACUUUCAUGAAGUUGAGCCCCCUUACAAUAUAACAGUGAUUUCCUGCAUCUACCUGAAAAUGAUUGUUCAUCCUUUCUGCAAAAAAUAUGAAGGCAGAAAAUUAUCUUUUUCAUAAUUCAACUCAUACAGCUUCCAGGUACGUUUAAUGGUUAGAUAUAUAAAGAUGAAACGUAUCUCUAUGGCUAUAGAGCUUCCAUUUGAGGCGUCAUACAAUAAAUCCUUUUUGUUGUUACUGUCGUGUAGAUACUUGGUUUGAAUUAUUUUAAUCUAAAUAUUCAAUAUUCCUGAAUACUUGCAAUCUAUAAACCACCACCAUAUAAUACCCUUCCAGAAUUAAUCACAAUUCACCAGAUACAGUUUCUCUCGGGUAUCAUUUUGGAUACUCUCUUCCUUAUAAAGAAAUUACUGGUAUUUAUAGGUGUUUUUUUCUCUGGAUCCAGGGAUUUUGAUAUGAGGAACUGUGAGGUCAUUGCUUCCCUACUUUGAAUGUUGCUCAGAGCUCCCUCAUUUCUACUUAUAUUUCUACAUUCAGGUUCGCUUAAAAAGCCUUCACUGACCCCAUUCUGAGCUAACACCAUAAUAACCGUGUUCCUACAGGACCCACACAGUCAUAUUAAGCACAGUAGUUAGUCAGCCCUUUCUGUCCCCCUCAAGAUGGUGUCAUUCUGAAAAUCAGGAAUUCUAUACAUUUGUGUCCACAUGCUGAAUGCCCACAGCAAACGUUUGGUUUAUCCCUGUCGAAUUUGUUUUAAUAUUAGGAUCUUAUCUAAGGACUAUCAUUAAAUUUAAAGUUAUAAAGAUGUAGCCUUAUGCUUUUUUUCUAAUAUUGUAAUAAUGUUAG
RNAcentral lists this long non-coding RNA (1204 nucleotides) under Marmota monax (woodchuck). Lineage: Eukaryota; Metazoa; Chordata; Mammalia; Rodentia; Sciuridae. The record is from RNAcentral.